GCUAGUCUCUGGGCUUGAGUGAGAACCAAAGAAAUUUCAACCAGGAGAAGAACUUCUAUCAUGCUCUGCCCUGGCCUGCUGUGGGCAUUCCUGGCCUCCUUUGGCUUCAGGUCCAGCAUGGCUCAGAAGGUAAUCCCAGUUCAGACCACAAUCACAAGUCAGGAAGGAGCAGCUGUGACCAUGGACUGGAAGUAUGAAACCACUUGGAGCAAUUAUUAUACUUUGUACUGGUACAAACAGCCUCCCAGCGGAGAGAUGGUUUUCCUUAUUUAUCAGGAUUAUUCUAAGCCGAAUGUAAAGCAGGGUCGCUUCUCUGUGAACUUUCAAAAGGCAGAAAAAUUCAUCAGCCUUACCAUCUCUUCCUUACAACUGGAAGACUCAGUGACUUACUUCUGUGCUCUUGGGUCUCCCACAGUAAUAAAAAUAAUGGUGGAAGAUAAUCAAAAACCUUAGAGCUCCAGAAAGGCAACCACCUGCUCAGAGGCUUGGGAGAAACCCAUGAACCACAGACAGGAAGAAGGCAGGCACUG
Molecule: non-coding RNA, 530 nt
Organism: Ceratotherium simum simum (southern white rhinoceros)
Lineage: Eukaryota; Metazoa; Chordata; Mammalia; Perissodactyla; Rhinocerotidae
Source: the annotation of a RefSeq genome assembly